This 17-nucleotide transfer RNA is filed under the name Eleutherococcus trifoliatus. Its description in RNAcentral is "partial tRNA-His". Lineage: Eukaryota; Viridiplantae; Streptophyta; Magnoliopsida; Apiales; Araliaceae. The record is from RNAcentral. RNAcentral also lists the same sequence under 1 other name.
AAGAAUAGUAGAGGGGC